Molecule: unclassified non-coding RNA, 74 nt
Filed under: Pseudomonas flexibilis
Lineage: Bacteria; Pseudomonadati; Pseudomonadota; Gammaproteobacteria; Pseudomonadales; Pseudomonadaceae
Source: RNAcentral
AACCGCCGUGUACGUGACCCGUAUGCACGGUGGUGUGGGAGGAGAGGCGCCGUGAGGCGUCUCCCUAUCCCAAU